UCCCUGGUGGCUUAGAUGGUAAAGCGUCUGCCUGCAGUGAGGGAGACCCAGGUUCGAUCCCUGGGUCGGGAA
This 72-nucleotide transfer RNA is filed under the name Ovis aries (sheep). It matches the Rfam family "tRNA". From Rfam's summary of the family: Transfer RNA (tRNA) molecules are approximately 80 nucleotides in length. The record is from Rfam by way of RNAcentral. Lineage: Eukaryota; Metazoa; Chordata; Mammalia; Artiodactyla; Bovidae.